AGCGAACGAUGGCGGCAGGCUUAACACAUGCAAGUCGAACGGGCACUUCGGUGCUAGUGGCAGACGGGUGAGUAACACGUGGGAACGUACCUUUCGGUUCGGAAUAAUCCAGGGAAACUUGGACUAAUACCGGAUACGCCCUUCGGGGGAAAGAUUCAUCGCCGAUAGAUCGGCCCGCGUCUGAUUAGCUAGUUGGUGAGGUAAUGGCUCACCAAGGCGACGAUCAGUAGCUGGUCUGAGAGGAUGAUCAGCCACAUUGGGACUGAGACACGGCCCAAACUCCUACGGGAGGCAGCAGUGGGGAAUAUUGGACAAUGGGCGCAAGCCUGAUCCAGCCAUGCCGCGUGAGUGAUGAAGGCCUUAGGGUUGUAAAGCUCUUUUGUCCGGGAAGAUAAUGACUGUACCGGAAGAAUAAGCCCCGGCUAACUUCGUG
This 433-nucleotide ribosomal RNA is filed under the name uncultured bacterium. RNAcentral describes it as "partial 16S ribosomal RNA". It matches the Rfam family "Bacterial small subunit ribosomal RNA", at positions 29 to 507 of the family's 1533-position model. The record is from RNAcentral.